This 497-nucleotide ribosomal RNA is filed under the name uncultured bacterium. RNAcentral's name for it is "partial 16S ribosomal RNA". It matches the Rfam family "Bacterial small subunit ribosomal RNA", at positions 28 to 507 of the family's 1533-position model. The record is from RNAcentral.
GAUGAACGCUGACGGCGUGCCUAAUACAUGCAAGUCGAGCGAACAGACGAGGAGCUUGCUCCUCUGACGUUAGCGGCGGACGGGUGAGUAACACGUGGAUAACCUACCUAUAAGACUGGGAUAACUUCGGGAAACCGGAGCUAAUACCGGAUAAUAUAUUGAACCGCAUGGUUCAAUAGUGAAAGACGGUUUUGCUGUCACUUAUAGAUGGAUCCGCGCCGCAUUAGCUAGUUGGUAAGGUAACGGCUUACCAAGGCAACGAUGCGUAGCCGACCUGAGAGGGUGAUCGGCCACACUGGAACUGAGACACGGUCCAGACUCCUACGGGAGGCAGCAGUAGGGAAUCUUCCGCAAUGGGCGAAAGCCUGACGGAGCAACGCCGCGUGAGUGAUGAAGGUCUUCGGAUCGUAAAACUCUGUUAUUAGGGAAGAACAAAUGUGUAAGUAACUAUGCACGUCUUGACGGCACCUAAUCAGAAAGCCACGGCUAACUACGUG